GGGCCCGCACAAGCGGUGGAGCAUGUGGUUUAAUUCGAUGCAACGCGAAGAACCUUACCUGGUCUUGACAUACACAGAAUCUUGUAGAGAUACGAGAGUGCCUUCGGGAAUUGUGAUACAGGUGCUGCAUGGCUGUCGUCAGCUCGUGUCGUGAGAUGUUGGGUUAAGUCCCGCAACGAGCGCAACCCUUGUCCUUAGUUACCAGCGGGUUAAGCCGGGAACUCUAAGGAUACUGCCAGUGACAAACUGGAGGAAGGCGGGGACGACGUCAAGUCAUCAUGGCCCUUACGACCAGGGCUACACACGUGCUACAAUGGCAGUGACAAUGGGUUAAUCCCCAAAAACUGUCUCAGUUCGGAUUGUCGUCUGCAACUCGACGGCAUGAAGGUGGAAUCGCUAGUAAUCG
Molecule: ribosomal RNA, 406 nt
Filed under: uncultured bacterium
Lineage: Bacteria
Description: bacterial SSU rRNA
Rfam family: Bacterial small subunit ribosomal RNA
Source: RNAcentral